UACUUGUCGAUGAGUGCUAGAUGGCUGG
RNAcentral lists this small RNA (28 nucleotides) under Bombyx mori (domestic silkworm). RNAcentral's name for it is "ovarian small RNA-21678". Lineage: Eukaryota; Metazoa; Arthropoda; Insecta; Lepidoptera; Bombycidae. The record is from RNAcentral.